Molecule: ribosomal RNA, 193 nt
Filed under: Bacillus pumilus
Lineage: Bacteria; Bacillati; Bacillota; Bacilli; Caryophanales; Bacillaceae
Also listed under: 3 other names
Description: partial 16S ribosomal RNA
Rfam family: Bacterial small subunit ribosomal RNA
Source: RNAcentral
UCGGAGAGUUUGAUCCUGGCUCAGGACGAACGCUGGCGGCGUGCCUAAUACAUGCAAGUCGAGCGGACAGAAGGGAGCUUGCUCCCGGAUGUUAGCGGCGGACGGGUGAGUAACACGUGGGUAACCUGCCUGUAAGACUGGGAUAACUCCGGGAAACCGGAGCUAAUACCGGAUAGUUCCUUGAACCGCAUGG